UCCGCGUUAGCUCAAUGGUAGAGCAUGCGGCUGUUAACCGCAGGGUUGCAGGUUCGAGUCCUGCACGCGGAGCCA
Molecule: transfer RNA, 75 nt
Filed under: Melioribacter roseus P3M-2
Lineage: Bacteria; Pseudomonadati; Ignavibacteriota; Ignavibacteria; Ignavibacteriales; Melioribacteraceae
Also listed under: 1 other name
Description: tRNA-Asn (GTT) (tRNA-Asn-GTT-1-1)
Rfam family: tRNA
About the family: Transfer RNA (tRNA) molecules are approximately 80 nucleotides in length.
Source: RNAcentral